AACGAACGCUGGCGGCAGGCCUAACACAUGCAAGUCGAGCGAGAUCUUCGGGUCUAGCGGCGGACGGGUGAGUAACGCGUGGGAAUAUGCCCUUCUCUGCGGAAUAGCCUCGGGAAACUGAGCGUAAUACCGCAUACGCCCUUUGGGGGAAAGAUUUAUCGGAGAAGGAUUAGCCCGCGUUGGAUUAGGUAGUUGGUGGGGUAACGGCCUACCAAGCCGACGAUCCAUAGCUGGUUUGAGAGGAUGAUCAGCCACACUGGGACUGAGACACGGCCCAGACUCCUACGGGAAGCAGCAGUGGGGAAUCUUAGACAAUGGGGGCAACCCUGAUCGAGCCAUGCCGCGUGAGUGAUGAAGGCCUUAGGGUUGUAAAGCUCUUUCAGCUGGGAAGAUAAUGACGGUACCAGCAGAAGAAGCCCCGGCUAACUCCGUG
This 433-nucleotide ribosomal RNA is filed under the name uncultured bacterium. RNAcentral describes it as "partial 16S ribosomal RNA". It matches the Rfam family "Bacterial small subunit ribosomal RNA", at positions 29 to 507 of the family's 1533-position model. The record is from RNAcentral.